RNAcentral lists this long non-coding RNA (8868 nucleotides) under Populus tremula. RNAcentral describes it as "long non-coding RNA (PTRE_LNC002131)". Lineage: Eukaryota; Viridiplantae; Streptophyta; Magnoliopsida; Malpighiales; Salicaceae. The record is from RNAcentral.
GGCAACUCUUGAGGUCACUGAAGGCUCCGCGAAAUGGACUGUUGUAUUUACAAAGAAACAUCACUCAUGCCCAGAACCUACUUAUUACUUGCAGCGCUUAGAUUCCGUCAACAAGGACAUUAAUACUUACCUUCUUUCUUGUAACUAGGAACAGCACGACAGAACAUGCCCUUUGUUUAAGUGAAGCUAGCCAGUACGUACGUUGUACUUUGAAAUAAACGCUUCAAAUUGAAGGUGCAUGUAAUUCCCAGGCCCUAAUAUAAAGUAUAGAGCACUUUAGACCUUUGGAUUCCAUCAGUUAGGCUGUUGAUGCUUCCCUUCUACAAGGUGUGUGGCAUGAGCAGAUAAGCCUGGUAUUUGUAUAAUAAUUCAGGUGGCCAUCCUCUGUGUAACUUUGUGUGAUCUAGUAAUUAAAUAAUAUGUGCUCACUUUCCUUAAAUCCGUCGUUCGGAGUAUUAUUUUCGUUCUAAAUCCAUUUUUUAAUAUAUAUAUAUAUAUAUAUAAAGAUUAAGGGGGCAAUUUCCCCCUUAAUCCCCAUUUGGCUCCGCAACUGGCUGCCACUGUCCAAGCAAUUCUAGCAACUCCUCUAGACCAUUUAGAUCUUGCCUAACCUCUCCUGGAAGGUCCACUGCAAAUUUUGAAUGAUUUAAUAUUUUGCGUUACAUGUGAUAAUUGUAUAAAUGUGUGUGUCGCACCCUAAAAAAAAUCCAAUUACGGGUUCGAUUGUCGAUUUUUUUGUUUUACUGAUUUGGUUCUUUGGAGCCACCUAGUAUUUUGGUUACUAGGAACCAUAACUGGUCUCAAAGAUCGGGUACGGGGACUGGUUGUGUAAAAGGAAGGUAUUAGCACCCCAAAUACGCCCUACCUAAGGUAAGCUGCAUUGUUUUAUUGUCUGAUAAAAACUAAAAUGUUAUUGUACUUCUAGUUGUUGGUCUGUCUAUGGUUCAAGAAAAAUCCUCCUCGGUAAGAAGGUCUUUAUCUUAUCGGGUAAAAUCCUAACCGUUCUAACGUCUAUACCAAAACUUUAUUAAUAAUAUUUAGGAAUACGUUUUACGUAUAAAUUCGUAAUCCCAAAUACUAAAAGAAAACAAAAAGAUUUUUUUAGAAUUUUUGAAAUAUUGGCCUAGUUCUCAUGGCUUGAAUAAACUGGUUAUUAAAGCCAAAAUGCAUGCUAAUACAUAUAUUGUUUUGAAAAUUUCCUUUGUUGUGUGAAAAUAUGAUGUUAUAAUAUAUAUAUAUAUAUUGGAGAGACUAGGCCGUAUUUUAAAACCAAAAAAACAUUUUUUGGAAAAUUUUUUUUUUUAUGUUUUAACGAAAAUCGGGUAUUUUAAUACUGGGUUUGUAUUCUUACGGUAUAAAAAUACAAACCAAUAUUAAUCCACCCUAAUAAAAAUAUGCAGGAAAAAUCAACAAUAUUUUUAGGGAUUUUUUAGAAUUUUUUGAAAGCAAAAACAUUUUUUAUAUUGAAAGUCUUUGAUGUUUUGACAAAAACCGGGUAUUUUAAUAAUGAAUUUAUAUCUCUACGGUAUAGAAAUACAAACCAUUAUUAAGCCAAAAAUGCAACCAAAUCAACAAUAUUUUUCAAAGAUUUUUCAGAAUAUAUUUUUUAAAGAAAAAAAAAAAAUAUAUACAUAUAUAAUAUAAUAUAUAUUAUAUGGGCUGGGCCGGCCCAAUUGAAUGGGCCAAACCCAGCCCAACAAGAAUUGGGAUUGGGCCGAUCUCGGCCCAUUUAAGCUUUUAUCUUUGACUGGGCCAAACCUGGCCCGAUAUGCAUAACUGGGCCAGAAUCGGUCUGGCCCAGCAAAAGAAAAUAGUCGGGAGGGGAAUUAAUUUUCCCCUCCCCUUCUCCUGCAUGCAACACAAUUAUGCAUGCAAGAGGGAAGCUUCUUCAACUAACAGGUGCAAAGGGAGGGGGGAGAAGACUUUACCUAGUGUGGAGGAGGCGGUCGCUGGUGGUGCUGCGAUGGAGGCCGGCGUGGCUGAAGGCGGCGAGGCUGGUCGCAGGAUCUGAUCGCCGCUGGAGGAAGAAAAAAACAGGUCCUGCAGAGGAGAAGGAGAGCCCACGGUUGCAACUGUUGGAGCGGCUGAAGGGAGAGCUGCUAUCCUGGCGGUCUUUGGUGCUGCUGCUAUGCUGCAUAGGAGAAGGAAAACUCACGGUUGCAAGAUGAUUGCUGCGGCUGCUGCUACUGCUGUUGCUGCUGCUGGAGGCCUCGGUGACAGAGGAGGAGAGUUUUGCAGAGGAGAGAAAGAUGAUGCAACCACCGUGUGUGACGUUUUGGUGGCUGCUUGAGGUGGAGAUGACAAUGAGAAGACGAGUGAUGAUGGUGGUGGUGGAUGAGGGCCAACGACGGAGAGGGAAAGGGAAGAAGAGACUGGUUGCAGGAAAACUGGGCAGUAAUGGCUGGUUUUUGUCCGACUUUGUGUUUUAUUUUUUCCUCCCUCAGAUCAUCAAAUCCGACUCUAUUUAUAGGCUGUGGAAGAGGACAAUCUUGUCUACGUUGGAGAAAAAUUUCAGCCCUUGAUUCAGUUGGGAAGCAUCUCAACUGUUGGCUCAAAGUGUGCACCUCGAGCUGCCAAAUUUGGCAGCUCCAGGUUGUGAACUGCCCGAGGUGGCCACUUUGAGCCACUCAACGGAGCCGUUUCUAACUUUUUCGGCCCGACAGGACCAUUCUCCGGGAUAAAGGGGUUUCAGGUGGACAUGUUGGUGCACGGUUUGUCGGAUUUGGAGGCCAGACGAGCCGAAAGUGAAUAGUAACAGGCGACGUGUCUCCUGAUUUCCCUGCGCCAUUUUUCAAAUUAAUCCUCCAGUUUUCAAUUUCUUCAAUUUGACCCCGGAUCAAUCCAAUACAGCACCCCUAUUUACGCCCUUUUUCCAAAUUGGUCCCUGGUUUCGGAUUUUCUCAAUUAAGUCCCUAAUUGGCCAUUAAACUUCAAUAUUUAUGCAAUUAAGCCCCUGAUCGGACCUAAUAAAUUCCUAAAAAAUAUAUUUUGGCCCCAGAACUUAAAUUUCUUCUAAUUAAAGCCCAAAUUGACUUAAAAAUCAAUUUUUCUUGCAAUCAAAUCCCCUAUAAAUCCAAUUAAAAAUCCAAUUAAGUCCAUAAACAUCCAAAUUUGGGCUUUUCUCCUCAAAAUUUAAAUUUUCCUUCUAAAAUAGGGCCCUCAUCCUUCAAGAAUAUACUGUCAAAAAUCCAAUCUUUGUAUUUUUAUACUCCUUGACCAAUUUUCUGACCAUUUUCUGAACGUUUCUGCCUCCUGUUAUUUUUCUAACCUCUUUUGGCUAUUUAUUUUAUUUUUAUUUUUGUGGGGACCCGAAAAUGGGUUACAACAGUGUGUAAUCAUAAGGUGUGUGCUAAAUAGUGAAAGAGAAUAUAUGUCAGUGAUACAUGAUUUUAUUUUCUUUGGAUGUGUUAGAAAAAAACAAAAAAACAAAGAAGAAAAAAAAAUACACAUACUUGUAUAAUUUGUUUUUUUACACCAUGUUUACAUAAAAAUUAAAAAAACCCAUUUUUGCAUGUUUUUAGCAUUAAAAAAAUGUGUUUUUGAUAUUUGUUUAAAAAGAAAUCCAAAGAGACUGGAUUAGGGACUUGAUUGAAGAAAUUCAAAAUUAAGGACCAAACUGGAAAUGUACGUAAAUAAAGAGGCUGAAAUUGAUCGAAUUAAAGGCUAAAUUGAAGAAAUUGAAAGUUUGUUGAUCAAUUGAUGGUCAAAAUGCACAAAUUCAAAAUCAAAGACCAAAGUGAAAGAGGUGGCCAACUUCAUGGUUGACAUCUAAAUUUGACAAUGAUGCAAUUGAAUUGAUUCUUAAAUCUCAAUUGAGGAAUGGAUUAAACAAAUUAAAAUUUAGGAUUGAUUUAGAAAUUGAAAAUUUUUAGCGCCCUUUUCUUUUAAAUGAAACGACAUGUUUUGUUCACAACGAUGUCGUUUCAUUCACAAUUCAUUUUUUUUAAAGAGAGAGAGAGCUACAAAUAGUGUCAUUUUGAUGACACUGUUUGACAUCUUCUUCCCCUGGACGUGCAAAGGCAGGGGAAGAAGGUUUUUUCCCCCUCCUUUGCAAUGCUUGUUUCUCCCUCGCUCUCCCUCCCAUUUGCCCAAAAACCCCGACACAACCUACACCCUUUCAUGGCCUACCACCAUGAUGAAAGGGACAGAGUAGACAAGCCAUGCGGGUGGCUGUAUAGAGGCCGCUCCAGCCAUCCUACUGUUUCACCAUGACUAGACAAGGAUAGGAUAGGGUGGCCAUCUCUUCCCUCACCCCUUAUAAAUACCCCCUCACCAGAAGGUAAAAGGGAUGAGAAUGAGAGAACGAAAGGAAUGAAAGAAACAUAAAAAGGAGAGCGAAGGAAAAAAACAAAACAAAAAAAAAGAAAAAAAAAACAGGGGAAAAUAGAGAAAGGAAAAAAAAGUUAGGAAAGGAAGAAACAAAAGAGAAAGAAAGAAGAGAAAACAAAGAGUGAUAGGAAAGGGAAAGAAGAAUAACCACCGGCCAACAAAGCCACCCUUCCCAGUGCAUAGCCUCCUCGGUGAGAAGAAGAACCAGCAGCUCCAGCUCCAGCAAGGAUGGAUGUCGUUAUGAGCCAUCGAAAGUCAGCAUCCACCUCAUUUCUUCUUCUUCUCUUUCUUUGUGUGCCACCUCCACUAUUCUGUAAGUGAAUAAUGGAGAGUGAAUUAAUUCACUCUCCACUGUUCACUAUAUCGAACAAUGUCAACCCAUACCAAAAUGGUUGGCCCGAGUCCGACCCAAUAAAAAUAAUAUUUAUUGGACUGGUAUUGGCCCAACACCCUUUUGGGACGACAUCGGAUCAACCCUUGUCUUGGGCUGAUGUCAGCCUAGUCGCUUUUUGGGUCGAACUCGACCUAGUUUCCUUUUGGAUCGAACUUAGCCCAAACAUGGUGGGCUCAACCCACAUGAUUAGGUUAGGGCCAACCUGAUGUAUUUUAUUAUAAUAUAAUACUAUAUAAUAUAUGUUAUAUAUUAAAAUAAAAAUAAAUCAUUUGAAAAACAUUUGUGGUUUUCUUGCGUAUUUUUCUACCAAUUUUACUUAAUAUUGGUUUGUAUUUUUAUACUUUAAAGAUACAAAUCCGACAUUAAAAUACCUAGUUUUUUUCAAAAUAUUACAAAAAAAAUUUAUAUAGAAAAAAUAAAUAAAUAAAUAUAUAUAUAUAUAUACACACACACACGACCAAGUCUCUCAAGCUUAUAAGAAAUUUUCUUAUCGAAUUUUCAUACAACAAAAAAUUCAAGAACAAUAUUUAUUAGAAUGCAUUUUGAGCUUUAAUAAUCAGUUUAUUAAAGUCAUGAGAACUAGGUCAAACCAAGAAAAUUAUUUUGUUUUCUUUUAUUAUCUAGGAUUACAUACUUAUACUUAAAACAUAUUCCUAUUAUUAAAUAAGUGAUAAUUCAUUUUUUGUUGACGUUAGAACGAUUAAGUUUUACCUGAUAAGAUAAGGAUCUUUAUACUGAUGAUGACUUUUCUUUAACCUUAGACAUGCCAAUAAUUAAAAUAUACGACAAUAUCUUAAUUUAUUAUCAGACAAUUAAACAAUAUAAGUUAUCUUAGAUAAAAUCAUCCCGGGAUGGAAGCUUCGGUCCUGGGAGAGGCAGAAUUUAGGGCCGGGGGGGUGUCUAGCUGAAAAUUUAAAGGAGAGAAGAUUUGAUGAGUAUAAUUUUCAUUUGAAAUCACUAAGGGAUUUUCAUUGAUAUUUUUAUCGGUGAUUUGACGUGUUAAAAAUGUUAAAAUAAAUUCUGACACAAUGAUUUUUAAAUUCAAUCUGAAGAGAAUUUUUUAUUGGCGUUUUUUUUUAAUUUUUUUUUUUCUGGUAAUGGUUGAUACGUGACGCCACAUUACCAUUCAUAGGAGCCUAAAACAGGACGUUGAGAUGAGCUUUAGAAGCCGGAAAGUUUUUGUAAUAUUGGUGUAGCUAUUUGGGCUGCGACCCAAACAAUAUGGGUGUUACCAUUGGGACCCAACGGUAACUAGGCAACAAAGGUUUGUUGCCGUUUGGGUUUAAUAUUAUUAACUGCCAUUUUUCUUUAAUUUAAUUUCUUUUUUAACCACUCAGUGAUGGGAUAAGAUUGAGGAGCUAUCCCAGAAACCCGUAAAAUUCAUGUCGAAAUAAAUAAAUAAAUAAAACAGAAAUAUUAUUACGAAUAAGAGCUUUACCAAACUUGGGAAAAUAUCAAUGUCAAACAAUGCAAUAUGUUGAGUUAAUUCUCUCUUUUUUUGAUCGUUUGGACAUUCAGAGUUUCCAGUAGUCUUAUCAUUCAAAGAUGGACAGCGAGGAAGAAAGGUUUUGUAUCAAAAUUUCAAUGUCUGUUCUUGGGAAACAUUUUCUUAAAAAACAAAUUCACAUCUUCUUAAUGAUUUUAGAUUCAUCAUUUUAGCAUAAAUUAAGAUCAAAUAAUAAAAUUAAAUUAAAGAGAAAUGACAGAUAAUAAUAUUUUUGUUUUUGAUGAAGUUAAUAUUUUGUUCUUGAUGAAAGCUUACUGAUAUAGCUUUCUUCAGUUUUUAAUGUCAUAAAUUUCCUAUUUCCUUCAUUGCUAUUAUUCCAAUCCUUUUUAUAAUAAUAAUAAAAAUAAUUUAAGCAUACGAAAAGAAUGCAUAAAUAAGUCCUAAUUAAUUAACUUAACAUUCUUGACAUUAACUGUCAUCUCUCUCUCUCUCUCUCUGUUGUCAAUUUAUUGAUUUCUCUACUGUUAAUGGAUCUCUCUGUUUUUUCCUUUUUUCUACUUUUUCUGUUCCUUUCGGGUUGAUCAGUCCAAGAAUCUGAUCAUUUAAGAAUAGGAUUCUUUUUGCAAUUCUGAUGAGUUUUUUGUACGGUAAAGAGUGUCUUUUUGUACAAUUCUACUCAACAACUGCGUCUCUUGUAAAAAAAUGAUGAAACCUAAUUGAUUUUUUUUUAAAAAAAAACUCUUAAAGAUCAGAUCAAAUAUGGAACUUGUACCAUAUUUUCUAACGAGUUGAAUAGAAUUCAAUCCAUUUCAGACGACCAAAUAAGGAUAAGAUGUGUUUAUGCCCAAGGACCAAGAAUCAUGUAUGAUGUUUAUGUCGUGUAGAUUCCAGUCCCACUAUCAGCACCAGUUGUUUUAUGUACAAAACAUAAAUAUAUGAGACUAUGUCCACUAUCAAAAUUUAUUUUCCAUCAAUAUGGCAAUGAUCAUAUGAUACACCUCGAAUUUGAAGAAUGUAAUGAUGAUUUUAUGUUCUGAACAUUAACUUAUGUUGAUAUUGCUUCAAAUUAGGGUCCCAGAUGAUGAAGCAAAAGAAGUCCACAAGAGUAGUCCACAAAAUUAGGGUCCCAGAUAAUUUGUAAGGAUUUAUGAAUUUUUUUUAUUACAUUAAUUUUCUAACAAUAUAAUAAGACAAUAUCUAUGAUGUUAUUUUAGAUCAAAUUAACAACAUAACAAUAUACUAAAACAAUUGAUCGAUUAGUUUUUUUUUUUUUGUAGGAAAGACAUCACAAUUGCUCAUCGACAAUUAAUAAAACAAUUAAUUUAAUAUUUGGAUUUUGAGAGUCUUCUUAUAUAGCUCCCUCGUUCUACUUUAACUAUCAUAAAUAUCUUUCAUCUUCAUUAUUUUCACUUGACCUCAAAUUUAAUUACUCUGUGCAAUCUUUAGGGAAGUCGAUGGUGAGAAGGAAGAAUCCAAUUGAGCCACCAUCCACGGUGCAAGUCUAUUUCAUCUUCUCAUUAACUUAGAGGACCACCGCAAGAAUCUAUCGCCUUUACCUGGCUGGCAAAAAUAAGGCCACCACUUAUAUUGGGGACUAGAUCGAUGUCAAUCCAAUGAGAACCUGGAAUUAAUCAAUGAAGAAUUUUUUAUCCUUUUCGACAUGUGUAGGCCCUACAUUAGAGGCUAGGUGAUUCUCUUCUGAUCCUAUAUAACGCUAAGGCUUCCUCCACAUCGCAUCCAUCCUCAGCUUCUGUUUGCUUACAAGUCGUUAGUUUUCUUAUAGAUAUGGCUCAAAUUGGCAACCAGAUUGAGAUGAUCACGACACCAAUUCAAUGCUCUGCUUUUAUGUUUUAUGAGGUCUACAGGAAAGAAGCGUUCCUCUUGCCGAGGAUUUCUCCUCGUAAUGUUAAGAAAAUAGAACUCGUUCCCCCUACUUGUAGUUGGGAGGAUAAAGUAGGCUCCCGCAAGCUCGUUCACCUCGAUGAAGGUUUGAACUCAGACUUCUUAAAGGAGGGAGAGACUCUCAUUCACAUUUUCAAUCUUUUUUCCUUAAGAUAAUUAUCAAUUAAUCACUUUGUUCCAUAAUUUUUUUUUUUUAGCAUCUGUUUUCCUUGAGCAUGCAUGCCUAUAUAUAUUUUAACAAGCAGCGGCGUUGUUUUUUUAAAUAGCUGGACUUGAGUCUUUCAAGGAUGAAGUGAUAGAGAUUCACCCUCACGCCAAGAAAAUCACCUACAAGGUGUUGGAAGGAAACAUGAUGAUGUCCUUCUAUCACAGCUUCCAGGCAACUCUUGAGGUCACUGAAGGCUCCGCGAAAUGGACUGUUGAAUUUAUAAAGAAAAAUGACUUAUGCCCAAAUCCUGAUUAUUACUUGCAGCGUUUAGAUUCCGUCAACAAGGACAUUAAUACUUUCCUUCUUCCUAAGUAACUAGGAACAGCACGACAGAACAUGCCCUUUGUUUAAGUGAAGCUAGCCAGUACGUACGUUGUACUUUGAAAUAAACGCUUCAAAGUAAUUCCCAGGCCCUAAUAUAAAGUAUAGAGCACUUUAGACCUUUGGAUUCCAUCAGUUAGGCUGUUGAUGCUUCCCUUCUACAAGGUGUGUGGCAUGAGCAGAUAAGCCUGGUAUUUGUAUAAUAAUUCAGGUGGCCAUCCUCUGUGUAACUUUGUGUGAUCUAGUAAUUAAAUAAUAUGUGCUCAC